GCCAGGUGCAGUGUGCAUGCCUGUAAUCCCAACUACUUGGGAGGCUGAGACAGGAGAAUUGUGAGUUCAAAGCCAGCCUCAGCAAUGGCAGGGCACUAAGCAACUCAGUGAGACCCUGUCUCUA
Molecule: small RNA, 124 nt
Filed under: Marmota monax (woodchuck)
Lineage: Eukaryota; Metazoa; Chordata; Mammalia; Rodentia; Sciuridae
Source: RNAcentral